This 639-nucleotide ribosomal RNA is filed under the name uncultured bacterium. RNAcentral describes it as "bacterial SSU rRNA". It matches the Rfam family "Bacterial small subunit ribosomal RNA", at positions 232 to 885 of the family's 1533-position model. The record is from RNAcentral.
CGCGGCCUAUCAGCUUGUUGGUGGGGUAACGGCCCACCAAGGCAUCGACGGGUAGCUGGUCUGAGAGGACGAUCAGCCACACUGGGACUGAGACACGGCCCAGACUCCUACGGGAGGCAGCAGUGGGGAAUAUUGCGCAAUGGGCGAAAGCCUGACGCAGCAACGCCGCGUGGGGGAUGAAGGCCUUCGGGUUGUAAACCCCUUUCAGCAGGGACGAAAAUGACGGUACCUGCAGAAGAAGCCCCGGCCAACUACGUGCCAGCAGCCGCGGUAACACGUAGGGGGCAAGCGUUGUCCGGAUUUAUUGGGCGUAAAGAGCUCGUAGGCGGUUGCGUAAGUCGGAUGUGAAAACUCAGGGCUCAACCCGGAGACGCCAUCCGAUACUGCGCUGACUAGAGUCCGGUAGAGGAGCAUGGAAUUCCUGGUGUAGCGGUGAAAUGCGCAGAUAUCAGGAGGAACACCAGUGGCGAAGGCGGUGCUCUGGGCCGGUACUGACGCUGAGGAGCGAAAGCGUGGGUAGCGAACAGGAUUAGAUACCCUGGUAGUCCACGCCGUAAACGUUGGGCACUAGGUGUGGGGCCUCCUUAACGGGUUCCGUGCCGUAGCUAACGCAUUAAGGGCCCCGCCUGGGGAGUACGG